Molecule: long non-coding RNA, 813 nt
Filed under: Canis lupus familiaris (dog)
Lineage: Eukaryota; Metazoa; Chordata; Mammalia; Carnivora; Canidae
Description: lncRNA (ENSCAFG00845016525.1)
Source: RNAcentral
CCCCACCUCGCCGGAGUCCCGCGCCCCCGUCCCCCGCCCCCUGCAGGCCCCCGCCCUCCCCGUCCCCCCGCCCCCACCUCGCCGGAGUCCCGGGCUCCCGGGGGGCGGGCGGGCGGCGGCGGCCGCGGCUCGGCGGCUCCCGGGGCGCUCCCCCUGGCGGGGGCGGGGGCGGGCGCCAGCUGCGCGGCCGUGACAGCUCCCCGUGCCAGCCCAGUGGCUCCCUGCCAUUGGCUCGGUGCGGCGGACCGGCGACGCCGCGCACUAUAACAGCCCUCAUGCCCGCCGGCCGCCGCGACUCCCGGGCCGCCGCCGCCGCCACUGCCGCCGCCACUGACGCGCUCGGGGCCCUGCGGCCGGCGGGGGGCGGGGGGCGGGGGGCAUGCGGGGGCGGGCGCGGGGGCGGGCGCGGGCGCGGGCGCGGGGGCGGGGGGGGGGGGGCGCGCGCGGCCGCGGGGCGGAGUGAGCGUGGCCCCCGGCGUGCGGGGCGGCGGCGGCGGCGGCGGCGGGGCCCCAGCGCCGGGCGGGAGGCGGCGGGGCCCCAUGGAGUGUUACUACAUUGUCAUCAGCUCCACGCGGCUCCGCAACGGACACUUUCGCAACAUCAAGGGAGUUUUCCGGGGCCCCCUCAGCAAGAACGGGACCAAAACUCUGAUGAACUGGUUAGUUUCGUGAAAAUUGAGAUGAAGAUCACCAAAAAAAAACCCCAAACAUCCAAAGACACGUGUGGAUAGGCAUUGCGUAACAUCAGAAAAAGAAUUAAAGGCCAUUCACAAUAAAGGCAGUGUCUUUAUUAAUGGGUAAAAUUACCUCGGG